GGCCGCCUGGCGUAAUGGCAACGCGUCUGACUACGAUGACAUCGUGCGUUCACGGUGUGGUUAAUCAGGAGAUUGCAGGUUCGACCCCUGCGGUGGUCA
Molecule: non-coding RNA, 99 nt
Organism: Earliella scabrosa
Lineage: Eukaryota; Fungi; Basidiomycota; Agaricomycetes; Polyporales; Polyporaceae
Source: the annotation of a GenBank genome assembly